AGUGAACGCUGGCGGUAGGCCUAACACAUGCAAGUCGAACGGCAGCACAGUAAGAGCUUGCCCUUACGGGUGGCGAGUGGCGGACGGGUGAGGAAUACAUCGGAAUCUACUUUUUCGUGGGGGAUAACGUAGGGAAACUUACGCUAAUACCGCAUACGACCUACGGGUGAAAGCAGGGGAUCUUCGGACCUUGCGCGAUUGAAUGAGCCGAUGUCGGAUUAGCUAGUUGGCGGGGUAAAGGCCCACCAAGGCGACGAUCCGUAGCUGGUCUGAGAGGAUAAUCAGCCACACUGGAACUGGGACACGGUCCAGACUCCUACGGGAGGCAGCAGUGGGGAAUAUUGGACAAUGGGCGCAAGCCUGAUCCAGCCAUACCGCGUGGGUGAAGAAGGCCUUCGGGUUGUAAAGCCCUUUUGUUGGGAAAGAAAAGCAGCAGGUUAAUACCCCGCUGUUCUGACGGUACCCAAAGAAUAAGCACCGGCUAACUUCGUG
Molecule: ribosomal RNA, 492 nt
Filed under: uncultured bacterium
Lineage: Bacteria
Description: partial 16S ribosomal RNA
Rfam family: Bacterial small subunit ribosomal RNA
Source: RNAcentral